This is a non-coding RNA of Parasteatoda tepidariorum (common house spider), 968 nucleotides long. The record is from RefSeq and is a predicted model, not a curated record. Lineage: Eukaryota; Metazoa; Arthropoda; Arachnida; Araneae; Theridiidae.
CACGUUACUACUGAACACUCCAGCCCGAAAUAUUCACAGGAGCGAGAAAUAGAGGGUGAAACCUCACCCCGUCAUUUUCACGGGAGCGAGAAGGAAGGGGUUAAAUAAAUUUCAAAAUGGGCUGUGAUGGUCUCACUUUUUUGUUAUUCUAUUCAAAAAUUUUACUCCUAAUAAUAAUUAUUUAAAAAUUUAUAUUUAAAUGCAGUAAGUUUUUGCAAACAUUUCUUUGCUUAAUUAAAAUGGUUUGUCUGUCUAUUUUGUAGGUAUUGGACCAUCUACCCCAGUUGAAGGAGAAACCACCUCACAUAAAUGUGCCCAUUGUACAUAUGUAUCUGCUUCUGAAUCUAACUUGACACUCCACGUGGUGCGAGUUCACGCGGGUGUUCGCCCUUACGUCUGUGAUGUGUGCGGGGAAUCUUUCUCUACAAAUCUGUACUUGAAAGCACAUUAUUUGUUACAUACUGCAUUCCGUUGUAAAGUUUGUCAGAAAAGAUUGCGCACCUAACACAGUUAUAACAAUCAUUUGUUAUCUCAGCAUCAAAUACAGAAUGUACUCACCCUAUAAAUUAUCAGUUAAUUUUUUCUUUCUACUAAUACAGAUAGAACUAAGCUGAAAUAAAUAGUUAAGUCAUAAAUGCCCAAAUCAUUAAAGAUGUAAGCAUAAGAAUUAUGUAAAAAAAGAAGAAAAGAAAACUGUAUUUUUAGAAGUUUCAGAGUUUUGUUCCUUAAACAAUGCCUGUUGCAAAGUUUGAAAGACUACUUCUAUGGAUUGGAGUGGAUUUGUUUGCUUUAGUUAAUGACUGGAGAACCAUUCAAACUUAACUUAGUGAUGCCAUUCCUCGUUUUGAAUUCCGUCAUAGGAAUUGUAAUGGCUGGUGUACUUGUGACUUCUUAUGUUUUUCUAUUGAUUGCUUUUGUGAAACAUCUUACAUAUUAUUGCUAAUAAAUUUAUGAAAUAGUUGGAGAAA